UUGACCUCAAAUCAGGUAGGAUUACCCGCUGAACUUA
RNAcentral lists this ribosomal RNA (37 nucleotides) under Amanita parcivolvata. RNAcentral describes it as "partial 28S ribosomal RNA". The record is from RNAcentral. RNAcentral also lists the same sequence under 1 other name. Lineage: Eukaryota; Fungi; Basidiomycota; Agaricomycetes; Agaricales; Amanitaceae.